UGUGUGGAAUACUUUGUGGAACCUACAUGGUUAAUGAAAGUGGACUAUCAGCAACUCGUUAUUGUUGUUCCCUAAUUACUAGCACCAAAUCCUUGCAGCAUUUCCAUUUCAUUGACACGAGUGCAGGGCUUCAGACCUUCAAACCAAGUCUUUUAGAAAGAAGUAUCCCGUUUGCGUGGUCUAGUUGGUGGAGGAGAAAUUCAGGAUAAUGACAUUUUAGUUGUCAGCUUCCCAGGUUCUCCUGGAUCCUUCAAGUGGGAGGGUGUGCAAGGAUCAUUCACUCCAUUAACCUCUGUUAAAAGGAUAUCUCAGAAAAAAGACUAUGACAUUGCCCUUGUUGGGGCCUUUAGAAGGGAAAAGGACAAAGAGAUGGAAUUACAGGCACUAAGAGAUGAAAUUCAAGCGUCCAUGAAGCUGGUGAGACAAAGAGAAGAUGAGAUACAAAGUUUGAAGAUGAGACUACGUUUUCGAGAAGCUGGAAUAAAAAGAUUAGAAACAGUUGCUUCUGAGAAGAUCUCAGCUGAGACACACUUGCUAAAAGAAAAAGAGGAGCACUUGAAGGAAAUUGAGGUCUUGCGGGCCCAGGUGGAUCGGAAUAAUGAAGCAACUAGAUUUGCUAUGGAAAAUUUGCAGCUAAAAGAAGAAAUUAGAAGGCAUGUUUUAUUGAUACAGCUAAAAUACUUUUUUGUUGCUUUUUUUUUAUUCAUGUGCAUGCAAAAGUAACUCACUUUGAUUUCAUGAUUAAAGUAAAGGUUGGGAAGUGGCAUAGUUACUCUAUGACCAAAAAUCAAUCUUCCAGUAUGAACAAUAUAUACAUUGCCUAUUAUAUCCACAAAUAUGAAAAUAUGUAAAUCAGUUGAGGCAAGAACACAGCCUUAUGGUAUUGUCAAACUCAAAAGAAACUAGUCAACCAACCAGUCCAAGUUCUCCAACAAAUUAGUGCU
Molecule: RNA transcript, 944 nt
Organism: Glycine soja
Lineage: Eukaryota; Viridiplantae; Streptophyta; Magnoliopsida; Fabales; Fabaceae
Gene name: kinesin-like protein KIN-12E
Exons: 5
Source: RefSeq, a predicted model, not a curated record